GACAGAGAGGGGCAGAAAGAAGUUGAGAGUGAACGAGAGACUGGGAGACAGGGAGAGGUUGAGAGUGAUGGGGGGGAAGCAGAGAGCAGAGGUUUUUGUACAGCCUCUGCACUGGGAACUCUCACUGUGGGACACGUUCGGUAAAGGAACCAAGCUCAGACUGAGCCGUGAGAACUCUCAGCCCAAGCUGACCUUGCUGCCCCCCUCCCCGGAGCAGGUCAAUGCCAAGGGCACUGCCACCCUGGUGUGCCUUGCCAAUCACUUCUAUCCCGAUGAGCUGGAGGUGCAGUGGAAGAAGGACGGUGCAGUCAUUUCGGACGGGGUUCAGACCAGCAACUACCUGCGAGCUUCAGACAGCACCUACAGUGUCAGCAGCCUGCUGACCCUCUCUGGGUCUGACUGGGAGUCCGACGCUCGCUUCUCCUGUGCCCUCACCCACGUGACCCUCCCCUCUCCCCUCAGCAAGAGCAUCAGGAGAUCAGAAUGUGUGUAGAGUGUUGGAGACAGUCCACAGAGGAGACACAACUUUAAACAGAACAGGGCUGAGCUGGCAGGACAAAGGUCAUUGUCAGCACUGAAUUUCAACUCUCUUCCUUCUCAGGAUUGCUCAGAGAAACUUCUGAGGUUUGGAUAUUAAAGCAGGUCAUCGCGACAGUGUCAAGAGAGCUUUACACUGUGUCAAACCCCAUGCUGUCCUUGUCCUGGGAAUGUUUGAUGGGGACAGGAUUGCCUUGUUAUGUUAGCUGCACAAAACAAUGUGAACCUCAGAAGUCUCUGCUUCAGUAAACCAGAUCUCCUUCCUGCUCAGCUGCCAGUUCCAGUUUAAGGUUUUGUCACUGUUUAAAGGGGCAGGAUUCUCGUGUUAUUGAGAAAAUCUCUCCAAGUGUUUUCCUCAAGCUCCAUUGGGGCUAUGA
This is a non-coding RNA of Hemiscyllium ocellatum (epaulette shark), 914 nucleotides long. Lineage: Eukaryota; Metazoa; Chordata; Chondrichthyes; Orectolobiformes; Hemiscylliidae. The record is from the annotation of a RefSeq genome assembly.